GAUUUUCUGAUCUCGCUCGAUGAUCGCUUUUUGUACUUUGUGAACUGGCUACAUGGAGAUGUGAGACAAUAUGACAUUGAGGACCCUAAAAGUCCUAAGUUAGUGGGUCAAGUUUGGGUUGGUGGACUUAUCCAAAAGGGCAGUCCUGUGGUAGCUGAGGCAGAAGAUGGUACAACAUUCCAGUUUGAUGUCCCUGAAAUCAAGGGACAACGUUUGAGAGGGGGACCUCAAAUGAUACAGUUAAGUUUGGAUGGGAAACGUCUUUAUGUGACCAAUUCCCUCUUCAGUACAUGGGAUCGUCAGUUUUAUCCUGAGUUGGUUGAGAAAGGUUCUCAUAUGUUGCAGAUUGAUGUUGAUACACAGAAAGGUGGGCUCACUGUUAACCCGAAUUUCUUUGUGGACUUUGCGACUGAG
This 414-nucleotide unclassified non-coding RNA is filed under the name Hevea brasiliensis (rubber tree). Lineage: Eukaryota; Viridiplantae; Streptophyta; Magnoliopsida; Malpighiales; Euphorbiaceae. The record is from RNAcentral.